This 274-nucleotide ribosomal RNA is filed under the name uncultured bacterium. RNAcentral's name for it is "partial 16S ribosomal RNA". It matches the Rfam family "Bacterial small subunit ribosomal RNA", at positions 523 to 796 of the family's 1533-position model. The record is from RNAcentral.
AUACGGAGGGUGCAAGCGUUAUUCGGAAUCACUGGGCGUAAAGGACGCGUAGGCGGGUUGGCAAGUCAGAUGUGAAAUCCUACAGCUUAACUGUAGAACUGCAUUUGAAACUGCUAACCUAGAGUAUGGGAGGGGGAGAUGGAAUUAGUGGUGUAGGGGUAAAAUCCGUAGAUAUCACUAGGAAUACCGAAAGCGAAGGCGAUCUCCUGGAACAUAACUGACGCUAAGGCGUGAAAGCGUGGGUAGCAAACGGGAUUAGAAACCCUAGUAGUCC